AUGGCCCGCUUAGUUAGGGAUGGUGGCCGUGGACGUGGAGCGGCGGCGGUGGAGGAGACGGCGCCUCUGCCCCUGCCUCCGCCGCCCCGCCUCGCGUCGGCGGCGUUGUCUUCCUCGUCGCCGGCGUCCAUCCGUGCGCUGCUAUCGAGGACCGGUGGCGGGACGGACUGCCAGCAGUCGCCGCGGUCGCUGCUGUCGCGCAUCCUGCUGCGCGGCGGCGAUCAUAACGGCGGGAACGGAGGUGGGUCGUUCGGGUGCCGGGUCAGGCUGCCCCGGCGGUAUGGUAGCAGCAGCUCGUCCGUCGGCGAAAGUAUCAGGGAGGAGAGAAAGGACGAUGGUGCUGCCUCCGAGCAGUCGGCGGACGACUUCGGCUCCGCCAGGGUGAAGGUCGUGCAGCGCGCGCCGGAGCUGCCCAUGGACACGCCCCGGAGCUCUCUAGGGAGGAAGAAGCCGGAGGAGGAGGUCAUGUCGAUGAACCUUGGCCUGGGCGCGAGCCUGGUGCUGCUGCUCUCCAAGAGCGCGGUGGAGCUGAACAAGAUGGUGGAGCUCCGCGCGCAGAUGGAAGCGCUCGUCUCGGAAAUCAGGCACGAGACCGUCGGCAAGGAGAAGCAAGGCGGCUCUGCUCCUGCUUAUGCUCCGGCCGCGUCGUCCUCCUCCUCCCAGGAAUCCACCGUGAUCAAGGACCCCAUCGCCCGCGCCGAGGACGCGCUGUCCGACAACUGCUCCGGCGCCCGGACCGCAGAUCGCCGCCAGCUUUCCGCCGCCGUCGUCGCGAUGGACCAUAACAAGAUGGAGGCCGAGCUCCAGAUCGAGCUGAGCCGCAUGCAGACGCAGCAACGCGCCAUGCACGCGCCCAUGCGAGGGCUAGAGCUACCGCCGCUGCAGGUGAAGACGACGAGGGGCGCGCACGUGUCCGUCGACACGACGUCGAGGAGCUGCGUCGUCGACCACGCGGCGCAAGCGAACGCCGAGGAGGAUAGCGAGGAGGAAGAGGAUCAGCACGAGGAGGACUACGAAGAGGACGAGGAGGAGGAGGAGGACGACGACGGUGGCGAGGUGGUGGACCGCGACAGGAGCCCGCCGCACGGCGGCGUGUCGGCGCGCGCGCUGGAGCGGCGGCUGCACGAGCUGCUGCAGCGGCGGCAGCAGGACCGCAUCGUGGAGCUGGAGGCGGCGCUGGACGGCGCGCAGCGGCGGCUCCAGGAGCGGGAGCGCGAGGUGGUGUGGUGGCGCGACGCCGCCAAGCUCGUCUCCCACCGCCGCGACGAGUCCCGCCGCCUCCGGUGCACCGCCUCCGAGCCGGUCCGAUAA
Molecule: ribosomal RNA, 1311 nt
Filed under: Triticum aestivum (bread wheat)
Lineage: Eukaryota; Viridiplantae; Streptophyta; Magnoliopsida; Poales; Poaceae
Description: partial small subunit ribosomal RNA
Source: RNAcentral